AACAAGGGAAUCAAAAUAAUCAAGGGGACUGUGGCCGUUGGAUUUGACUCUGAUGCCAAUGGAGAUGUAACGGCAGUGAAAUUGAAGGAUGGGAGAGUGCUGGAUGCUGACAUUGUUGUCGUGGGUGUUGGUGGAAGACCUCUCACUACACUUUUCAAAGGCCAGGUUGAAGAGGAAAAAGGGGGAAUUAAGACUGAUGGUUUCUUCAAGACAAGUAUCACCGAUGUUUAUGCUGUAGGGGAUGUCGCCACAUUCCCUCUGAAGCUGUACAACGAAAUCAGGAGAGUCGAGCAUGUCGAUCAUGCCCGAAAAUCAGCUGAACAUGCUGUAAAGGCAAUCAAGGCAAACUCGGAAGGCAAACCCAUCGAAGAAUACGACUACCUCCCCUUUUUCUACUCUCGCACCUUCGAUCUCUCUUGGCAAUUCUAUGGAGACAACGUUGGCGACUCCGUUCUGUUUGGUGAUGCCGACCCUACAUCUGCUAAACCCAAGUUUGGCUCUUAUUGGAUCAAAGACGGGAAGGUGGUUGGGGCAUUCCUCGAAUCAGGUUCUCCGGACGAAAACAAAGCCAUUGCUAAGGUGGCGAGGCUCCAGCCAGCGGUGGCGGACCCGAAACAACUGAUAACAGAGGGCCUCAAUUUCGCCAGUAAAAUCUGAUGGUAAUUUACUUGAGGUAUCAUAUA
RNAcentral lists this unclassified non-coding RNA (683 nucleotides) under Hevea brasiliensis (rubber tree). The record is from RNAcentral. Lineage: Eukaryota; Viridiplantae; Streptophyta; Magnoliopsida; Malpighiales; Euphorbiaceae.